Molecule: ribosomal RNA, 275 nt
Filed under: uncultured bacterium
Lineage: Bacteria
Description: partial 16S ribosomal RNA
Rfam family: Bacterial small subunit ribosomal RNA
Source: RNAcentral
CCUACGGGUGGCUGCAGUAGGGAAUAUUGGGCAAUGGAUGCAAGUCUGACCCAGCCAUGCCGCGUGCCGGACGAAGGCCCUCUGGGUCGUAAACGGCUUUUAUGCGGGAAGAACCCCGCCCACGCGUGGGCGGCUGACGGUACCGCAGGAAUAAGCACCGGCUAACUCCGUGCCAGCAGCCGCGGUAAUACGGAGGGUGCGAGCGUUGUCCGGAUUUAUUGGGUUUAAAGGGUGCGCAGGUGGCCCGGUCAGUCAGUGGUGAAAUGCGGCCGCUC